AACGAACGCUGGCGGCGUGCCUAAUACAUGCAAGUCGAACGAGAAAGUCCGGCUUCGGUUGGACAAGUAAAGUGGCGAACGGGUGAGUAACACGUGGGCAAUUUUCCCUUGAAUCUGGGAUAACCCUUCGAAAGGAGGCCUAAUACCAGAUGACACUGUCGAAUGGCAUCUUUUGACAGUCAAAGGCGGAGCAAUCUGUCGUUCAAGGAUGAGCCCGCGGCCCAUUAGCUAGUUGGCGGGGUAAUGGCCCACCAAGGCAACGAUGGGUAGCCGACCUGAGAGGGUGACCGGCCACACUGGGACUGAGAUACGGCCCAGACUCCUACGGGAGGCAGCAGUAGGGAAUAUUGCGCAAUGGACGAAAGUCUGACGCAGCAACGCC
RNAcentral lists this ribosomal RNA (382 nucleotides) under uncultured bacterium. RNAcentral describes it as "bacterial SSU rRNA". It matches the Rfam family "Bacterial small subunit ribosomal RNA", at positions 29 to 398 of the family's 1533-position model. The record is from RNAcentral.